GAACGCUGGCGGCGUGCUUAACACAUGCAAGUCGAACGGAGCUUGUUGGAAAGAGACUUCGGUCAAUUGAAUUCAAGCUUAGUGGCGGACGGGUGAGUAACGCGUGAGUAACCUGCCUUGGAGUGGGGAAUAACACAGAGAAAUUUGUGCUAAUACCGCAUAAUGCAUUUGUAUCGCAUGGUACUGAAUGCCAAAGAUUUAUCGCUGAAAGAUGGACUCGCGUCCGAUUAGAUAGUUGGUGGGGUAACGGCCUACCAAGUCGACGAUCGGUAGCCGAACUGAGAGGUUGAUCGGCCGCAUUGGGACUGAGACACGGCCCAGACUCCUACGGGGAGGCAGCAGUGGGGGAUAUUGCACAAUGGAGGAAACUCUGAUGCAGCAACGCCGCGUGAGGGAAGACGGUCUUCGGAUUGUAAACCUAAGUUAUCAGGGACGAUUAUGACGGUACCUGAAGAGAAAGCUCCGGCUAACUACGUG
RNAcentral lists this ribosomal RNA (477 nucleotides) under uncultured bacterium. RNAcentral's name for it is "bacterial SSU rRNA". It matches the Rfam family "Bacterial small subunit ribosomal RNA", at positions 31 to 507 of the family's 1533-position model. The record is from RNAcentral.